AGAGAAUGCAGCACUCUCCUGAUCUAAUGAGCUUUAUGAUGGAGUUGAAGAUGCUUUUGGAAGUUGCCUUAAAGAAUAGACAAGAGCUGUAUGCACUACCUCCUCCUCCCCAGUUCUACUCAAGCCUUAUUGAAGAGAUAGGAACUCUUGGUUGGGAUAAAGACAAGGUUUUGCUGUAUUGCCCAGGCGAGUCUCACACUCCUGGGCUGAAAUGAUUCUCCUGCCUCAGCCUCCCAAAAUGCUGGGAUUAACAGGUGUUCGCUGCCAUGCCUGGCCUAGGAUGAAUAAAUGACUUUCGAUUUAGCUGCUGUUACUUAAUCAUUUGUUUUAUACUGUUUAAAAAUAAAGAAUGUUUUAGCAGAAGAGAA
This 368-nucleotide long non-coding RNA is filed under the name Homo sapiens (human). Its description in RNAcentral is "non-protein coding lnc-BCL11A-17:1". The record is from RNAcentral. Lineage: Eukaryota; Metazoa; Chordata; Mammalia; Primates; Hominidae.